Molecule: ribosomal RNA, 448 nt
Filed under: uncultured bacterium
Lineage: Bacteria
Description: partial 16S ribosomal RNA
Rfam family: Bacterial small subunit ribosomal RNA
Source: RNAcentral
AGCGAACGCUGGCGGCAUGCUUAACACAUGCAAGUCGCACGGUCAGCAAUGGCAGUGGCGGACGGGUGAGUAACACGUAGGAAUCUAUCCAGGGUGGGGGACAACAGCGGGAAACUGCUGCUAAUACCGCAUGAUACCUGAGGGUCAAAGGCGCAAGUCGCAUUGGGAGGAGGCUGGGUCUGAUUAGCGAGUUGGUGGGGUAAAGGCCUACCAAGGCGACGAUCAGUUGCUGGUCUGAGAGGAUGAUCAGCCACAUUGGGACUGAGACACGGCCCAAACUCCUACGGGGGGCAGCAGUGGGGAAUAUUGGACAAUGGGCGCAAGCCUGAUCCAGCAAUGCCGCGUGUGUGAAGAAGGUCUUCGGAUUGUAAAGCACUUUUGGCAGGGACGAUGAUGACGGUACCUGCAGAAUAAGCCCCGGCUAACUUCGUGCCAGCAGCCGCGGUAA